GACGAACGCUGGCGGCGUGCUUAACACAUGCAAGUCGAACGGAAAGGCCCUGCUUGCAGGGUACUCGAGUGGCGAACGGGUGAGUAACACGUGGGUGAUCUGCCCUGCACUUCGGGAUAAGCCUGGGAAACUGGGUCUAAUACCGGAUAGGAGCCAUUUUUAGUGUGAUGGUUGGAAAGUUUUUUCGGUGUAGGAUGAGCUCGCGGCCUAUCAGCUUGUUGGUGGGGUAAUGGCCUACCAAGGCGGCGACGGGUAGCCGGCCUGAGAGGGUGGACGGCCACAUUGGGACUGAGAUACGGCCCAGACUCCUACGGGAGGCAGCAGUGGGGAAUAUUGCACAAUGGGCGCAAGCCUGAUGCAGCGACGCGGCGUGGGGGAUGACGGCCUUCGGGUUGUAAACUCCUUUCGCUAGGGACGAAGCUUUUUGUGACGGUACCUAGAGAAGAAGCACCGGCUAACUACGUG
Molecule: ribosomal RNA, 465 nt
Filed under: uncultured bacterium
Lineage: Bacteria
Description: partial 16S ribosomal RNA
Rfam family: Bacterial small subunit ribosomal RNA
Source: RNAcentral